UACAGGGGGUGCAAACGUUGCUCGGAAUUAUUGGGCGUAAAGCGCGCGUAGGCGGCCACUUAAGUCGGAUGUGAAAGCCCCUGGCUCAACUGGGGAAGUGCACCCGAAACUGAAUGGCUUGAAUGCAAAAGAGGGUCGCGGAAUUCCCGGUGUAGAGGUGAAAUUCGUAGAUAUCGGGAGGAAUACCGGUGGCGAAGGCGGCAUCCUGGACCGACAUUGACGCUGAUGAGCGAAAGCUAGGGGAGCAAACGGG
This 253-nucleotide ribosomal RNA is filed under the name uncultured bacterium. RNAcentral's name for it is "partial 16S ribosomal RNA". It matches the Rfam family "Bacterial small subunit ribosomal RNA", at positions 524 to 776 of the family's 1533-position model. The record is from RNAcentral.